RNAcentral lists this ribosomal RNA (571 nucleotides) under uncultured Flavobacterium sp. Its description in RNAcentral is "bacterial SSU rRNA". It matches the Rfam family "Bacterial small subunit ribosomal RNA", at positions 790 to 1368 of the family's 1533-position model. The record is from RNAcentral. Lineage: Bacteria; Pseudomonadati; Bacteroidota; Flavobacteriia; Flavobacteriales; Flavobacteriaceae.
GUAGUCCACGCCGUAAACGAUGGAUACUAGCUGUUCGGAGCAAUCUGAGUGGCUAAGCGAAAGUGAUAAGUAUCCCACCUGGGGAGUACGUUCGCAAGAAUGAAACUCAAAGGAAUUGACGGGGGCCCGCACAAGCGGAGGAGCAUGUGGUUUAAUUCGAUGAUACGCGAGGAACCUUACCAGGGCUUAAAUGGGAGACGACAGGACUGGAAACAGUUUUUUCUUCGGACGUCUUUCAAGGUGCUGCAUGGUUGUCGUCAGCUCGUGCCGUGAGGUGUCAGGUUAAGUCCUAUAACGAGCGCAACCCCUAUUGUUAGUUGCCAGCGGGUCAUGCCGGGAACUCUAACAAGACUGCCGGUGCAAACCGUGAGGAAGGUGGGGAUGACGUCAAAUCAUCACGGCCCUUACGUCCUGGGCUACACACGUGCUACAAUGGGCGGUACAGAGAGCAGCCACCACGCAAGUGGGCGCGAAUCUUCAAAACCGUUCUCAGUUCGGAUCGGAGUCUGCAACUCGACUCCGUGAAGCUGGAUUCGCUAGUAAUCGCAUAUCAGCCAUGAUGCGGUGAAUA